GACGAACGCUGGCGGUGUGCUUCACACAUGCAAGUCGAACGGGGUAGCAAUACCUAGUGGCGGACGGGUGAGUAACGCGUGGGAAUCUGCCUCGAGAUGGGGGAUAACUGACCGAAAGGUUAGCUAAUACCGCAUAUGCCGAAAGGUGAAAGGAGUAAUCCGUCUUGAGAUGAGCCUGCGUCCGAUUAGCUAGUUGGUAAGGUAAAGGCUUACCAAGGCUAUGAUCGGUAGCUGGUCUGAGAGGAUGAUCAGCCACAAUGGAACUGAGACACGGUCCAUACUCCUACGGGAGGCAGCAGUGGGAAUUUGUGCAAUGGGGAACCCUGACGACAGCGACACCGCCGUGAGCGAAGAAGCCC
RNAcentral lists this ribosomal RNA (359 nucleotides) under uncultured bacterium. RNAcentral describes it as "bacterial SSU rRNA". It matches the Rfam family "Bacterial small subunit ribosomal RNA", at positions 28 to 416 of the family's 1533-position model. The record is from RNAcentral.